Molecule: ribosomal RNA, 460 nt
Filed under: uncultured bacterium
Lineage: Bacteria
Description: partial 16S ribosomal RNA
Rfam family: Bacterial small subunit ribosomal RNA
Source: RNAcentral
CCUACGGGUGGCAGCAGUGAGGAAUAUUGGUCAAUGGACGCGAGUCUGACCCAGCCAAGUAGCGUGAAGGAUGACUGCCCUAUGGGUUGUAAACUUCUUUUAUAAAGGAAUAAAACGAGGCACGUGUGCCUUUUUGCAUGUACUUUAUCAAUAAGGAUCGGCUAACUCCGUGCCAGCAGCCGCGGUAAUACGGAGGAUCCGAGCGUUAUCCGGAUUUAGUGGGUUUAAAGGGAGCGUAGGUGGGUUGUUAAGUCAGUGGUGAAAGUUUGGGGCUCAACCAUAAAAUUGCAAUUGAUACUGGCAGUCUUGAGUGCAGUUGAGGUAGGCGGAAUUCGUGGUGUAGCGGUGGAAUGCUUAGAUAUCACGAAGAACCCCGAGUGCGAAGGCAGCUUACUAGACUGUGACUGACAUUGAGGCUCGAAAGUGUGGGUAUCAAACAGGAUUAGAUACCCCAGUAGUC